RNAcentral lists this ribosomal RNA (253 nucleotides) under uncultured bacterium. Its description in RNAcentral is "partial 16S ribosomal RNA". It matches the Rfam family "Bacterial small subunit ribosomal RNA", at positions 524 to 776 of the family's 1533-position model. The record is from RNAcentral.
UACGUAGGGGGCAAGCGUUGUCCGGAAUCAUUGGGCGUAAAGCGCGUGUAGGCGGCUCGAUAAGUCUGCUGUGAAAGUUCAGGGCUCAACCCUGAAAUGCCGGUGGAAACUGUCGAGCUAGAGUCCGGAAGAGGCGAGUGGAAUUCCUGGUGUGGCGGUGAAAUGCGCAGAUAUCAGGAGGAACACCAAUGGCGAAGGCAGCUCGCUGGGACGGUACUGACGCUGAGACGCGAAAGCGUGGGGAGCAAACAGG